UUGAACGCUGGCGGUAUGCUUUACACAUGCAAGUCGAACGGCAGCACGGGGCAACCUGGUGGCGAGUGGCGAACGGGUGAGUAACAUAUCGGAACAUAUCCGGAAGUGGGGGAUAACGUAGCGAAAGUUACGCUAAUACCGCAUAUGCCCUGAGGGGGAAAGGGGGGGAUCGCAAGACCUCUCGCUUUCGGAGUGGCCGAUAUCAGAUUAGCUAGUUGGUGAGGUAAAGGCUCACCAAGGCGACGAUCUGUAGCUGGUCUGAGAGGACGACCAGCCACACUGGAACUGAGACACGGUCCAGACUCCUACGGGAGGCAGCAGUGGGGAAUUUUGGACAGUGGGCGAAAGCCUGAUCCAGCCAUGCCGCGUGCAGGAUGAAGGCCUUCGGGUUGUAAACUGCUUUUGUACGGAACGAAAAGACUCCUUCUAAUAAAGGGGGUCCAUGACGGUACCGUAAGAAUAAGCACCGGCUAACUACGU
This 480-nucleotide ribosomal RNA is filed under the name uncultured bacterium. Its description in RNAcentral is "bacterial SSU rRNA". It matches the Rfam family "Bacterial small subunit ribosomal RNA", at positions 30 to 506 of the family's 1533-position model. The record is from RNAcentral.